Molecule: ribosomal RNA, 305 nt
Filed under: uncultured bacterium
Lineage: Bacteria
Description: bacterial SSU rRNA
Rfam family: Bacterial small subunit ribosomal RNA
Source: RNAcentral
CCUACGGGACGCAGCAGUGGGGGAUAUUGCACAAUGGGGGCAACCCUGAUGCAGCGACGCCGCGUGAGCGAUGGAGUACUUCGGUAUGUAAAGCUCUGUCAGCAGGGAAGAGAAUGACGGUACCUGACCAAGAAGCCCCGGCUAAAUACGUGCCAGCAGCCGCGGUAAUACGUAGGGGGCAAGCGUUAUCCGGAUUUACUGGGUGUAAAGGGAGCGUAGACGGCGAAGAAAGUCUGAAGUGAAAGCCCGCGGCUCAACCGCGGAAUGGCUUUGGAAACUUUUUUGCUGGAGUACCGGAGAGGUAA